Molecule: ribosomal RNA, 402 nt
Filed under: bacterium
Lineage: Bacteria
Description: partial 16S ribosomal RNA
Rfam family: Bacterial small subunit ribosomal RNA
Source: RNAcentral
UGGGGAAUUUUGCACAAUGGGGGAAACCCUGAUGCAGCGACGCCGCGUGAUUUAGAAGGCCUUCGGGUUGUAAAAAUCUUUUCUAUGGGAAGAAAAUGACAGUACCAUAGGAAUAAGGACCGGCUAAUUACGUGCCAGCAGCCGCGGUAAUACGUAAAGUCCGAGCGUUGUCCGGAAUCAUUGGGCGUAAAGGGUACGUAGGCGGGUAAGCAAGUUAGAAGUGAAAUCCUAUAGCUCAACUAUAGUAAGCUUUUAAAACUGCUCAUCUUGAGGUAUGGAAGGGAAAGUGGAAUUCCUAGUGUAGCGGUGAAAUGCGCAGAUAUUAGGAGGAAUACCGGUGGCGAAGGCGACUUUCUGGCCAUAACCUGACGCUGAGGUACGAAAGCGUGGGUAGCAAACAGG